Molecule: long non-coding RNA, 1493 nt
Organism: Rosa chinensis
Lineage: Eukaryota; Viridiplantae; Streptophyta; Magnoliopsida; Rosales; Rosaceae
Exons: 4
Source: RefSeq, a predicted model, not a curated record
GCCAUUAUUCUGUAAUAACCUAGUUUUUUAAUCAAAGAAAAUUUAGUGGCAAACACCUUUGAUCAAAGGUAGGGUGUUCCGUGAUUUAAGCAAUAGUGGAUCAAUCAAGACCGGUGCUUUAUUUCUUACAUGAUUAUGCAUAAUUGAAAAGCUUAAUAGACGAACUCUCUCUCUCGGCCGAACCCAGAAAAACAGAGCAAUUGUUCUCCAAGCUUGUUCUCCCUCCACCGGCCACCAAACAGCGUCGGACCACCUCCAUUAACUUCGUAUUGGCCUUGCUCAGCUUUCAGAGGCAGCCUUGUGCGGAAAAACGGCCUCCAGCGACGGCGGAAAGCUCCGCCCGGUUUGAGCUCGUUUUGGUUUCAUGCUUGAUAUCUCAAGCUACAGGUCGCCAAUCAUCACCAAACUUCAUCCUCGAGCUCAUCUCAACCUCCUGAAGCUCCCAGAAGUAUCCUUUCAAGGCGUCACUGCGCGUGGUGGAGGCUGGAAGCCAGACCCGAUCUAAAUCGAAACCGAGCUAUCGAUCCAGAUAUCUCGAGCUACAUACCACCAUUUCUUGUGAUUCUUGAACUGAUGAGCUCGGCUUGAGUUUCUGAACAAAUAUCCAGAAGGGAUCGAAGCGAUUUGUUGAAAUUUUUACAUCGAUCGGAGCACAUACCGGAUUCUGGCAAAAUUCCGGCCACCGUGAGUAUUUUGGUGAUCGACUGAUUGAUUUGGCGGACGAUUCGUGAAAUCGUUGUUGAGCUGUUAAGAAGACGUAGCUGGAUUAGAGCGGGUAAUCCUGCAGGUGAGGAGAAUCAGGGCGGUGAUCGUGCGGGUUAGAGUAUUUGUUUUGGUUUUACAGCUUUUGUAAUUGUGAGGCCUCCACAACUUCAAGUCCGGCCCUGUGCGGAACCAUGACAGUAUGUUUGUGCUAGCUUUCUCUUUGAAGGUUAGAGUGUUCAAUAAGAUUUUAGCUUUUCUUGAAGCAAUUCAUGUUGCAAAGCAAAGAAACUGGAUUGACUUAUGGGUUGAGUCUGAUUCCAUGAUAGUGAUACGGUUUUUCAAGUCUCCCAAUCUUAUUCCUUGGAGGUUGCGAACAAGGUGGCUAAAUGGGUUCACAGACGCGCAAUAUGCGCUUACAGGUGACCCAUACUUUUCGAGAAGGAAAUGUUCCCGCCGACGUCUUGGCUAACUAUGGUGCGUCCAAUGCUGGAGCUCAUAUAUGGGACUCUCUCCCUCCAUUCCUUGUGCCUUCAUUGGACGUGACUUCUCUGGUAGAGUGGCUUAUAGGUUCAGAUGAGCUUUUUGCUUCUUGUUUCAUGUCUUGGUUUUUUGUUGCCAUUGUAUUGGUUGUAUGGAUCAGGAAAUUUCUAGAAUGUUUUUUUGCAUGGUUUGCAUAUAUGGUUUUUGUUCUGGGCAUGGCUUUGCUUACGUCCUCCAGCCCGUAUGUAAUUUUUUCUCCUUAUCAAUAAUACUUCAAGAGAGGACGUUGAGCUAGUCCUCUUCCUGCU